GUUUAUGGCUGCGCUGAGAAGGAGGAGUCAGUGCUGUGAGGAGCUUCCCAUAAGAAAUCACCGAGAAGAGCCAGACAGAGCUGUUUGCAACAUCUGUAUUAGGGCUGGACACUGCAGAGGAAAGAACUCAGCAGCACUUCCACUUUACCUUUGACUCUUCUAAAGAGGGGCAGAUGGUUCUUUCUGGACCCUACUGGACCAGCCCCACCAAGGAAAUAUGGGGUAAAUAGAACCUUUUACAGGUUCUGAGUUAGAAUGGGCAUUGCAUUCCCAAGUUGGUUAAAACCAGUGGCACAAGAAAUGGUUCUUGCUGCAAAGCAUGCUGUGCAGUACUGCCUACAGCUGCCUUAGAAGGAUGAAAGGUUGGGGCAGCCCUGGGAGCAUUUGACACUGGGUCUGGGAGUCUAAUUAUGCCAAGCCUGAUGAUGAGACUCUUAAAUCAACCCUUCUAGCAUUUUAAUUAAUGCAAUCAUGCAUAAGACUGGCAGCAGAAUCACUUAUGGAGAGCAUUUCCAUUGAAGGCUGAAAAUUAAAGGAAAAAAGAUAGUGCUGAGUAUGGGUGAACCAACUUUAACUUGCUUGAGCUCUUGGGAUUGUAAGGAGGCUUUCCCUCUGUCCUUCAGUCUCACAUAGGCCUGCAUGCAACACAGGAUCAGUUGAAGUUGAUGAAAUAAAAAAAAAGUUCCCUAUGGACAGGAUGAUGCAAAGGUGAAUAUUCAACCAAAGGGAGAAGGUGUGAUGACACUCACUGAUGCCUUGCAAAAAUUCUGAAGUAUGAGCUGAAUUUUUGCCACCUGUACAGUGAAGUUCAGGAGCUGAAGGACAGUGCUGGAAUCCCUUCAUGAUGGCUAUGGUCUAGCUGCAUCUAGAGACCCGUUUCAUGGAAGGGACCUCUUUGCUUUAUCUCUGCUGACUAGCCUUUGGGAUGGAGUCAGUGGAAUAGUCUUUUUCCUUUCAAAAAACAGGCCUCCAAGUUUGAGAUUUCACUUCAAAGCUUAAUUUUCCAGAGUAGUGAAAAUAAUGCAAAUGAAAGGGAAAUCUUCCCCUGUGGUAUAACUGGCAAACACAUCACCACGAACAGGGGCUUAUUUAUGUUCAGGGUGGUGCAGAGCACUGGCACAGGUUGCUCAGGGAGGUUGUGGAGUCUUCCUGUCUGAAGACGUGCAGAAUGCACCUGGAACAGUUGCUGUAUAACCUGUUCUAGGUGACCCUGCCUUGGCAGGUUUGAAUAGGUGAUUGCCAGAGAUCCCUUCCAAUCCAUUCCAUGACUGUGAUUUCUGCUGUUUAAUAGAGGGUCCUAUAUUCCCAGCUUGGUGGGAGUUGAAACCUUUCCCAGUGUCUUUUAGAAAGAUCUCUUGCUUAUUUAUAAGGUGAUUAGCAAACAGUUUUGCUCCUGAAUAAUUUUAAGGAGGCCGAGAAAAACCUUUAUGCUAGCAAAUGAAUGCUGUCUGCCAAAACAGAAAUAACUCCUGUGUGUAUGAAAGCCACAAGGAAAAGGCCUCACUACUUUCCUGACAAGUUUAAAUAUAGGCAAACCAGUAGUUAGUGAUGUAAUGUCAAUGCUCUACCUUGUUUAUGAACAGUUAUUAGUUCAUAACCACAUAAAAAAGUCAUGCAUGGAAACAUACAGCAUGCCAAAUAAUGUUGCCAACUAUCAAA
Molecule: long non-coding RNA, 1659 nt
Organism: Zonotrichia leucophrys gambelii
Lineage: Eukaryota; Metazoa; Chordata; Aves; Passeriformes; Passerellidae
Exons: 5
Source: RefSeq, a predicted model, not a curated record